Hibiscus syriacus is the source of this 2221-nucleotide long non-coding RNA. RefSeq lists it as uncharacterized. The record is from RefSeq and is a predicted model, not a curated record. The transcript has 3 exons. Lineage: Eukaryota; Viridiplantae; Streptophyta; Magnoliopsida; Malvales; Malvaceae.
GUAGGAUAUGAAGGGGGUUUUUAAUGAGGCUUAUCUUCUAUCAAAAAAAUUAAUCUAUAGUGGGAAGAGCUUUCUCUUUUAAAUCUGAUAAGCCCCUAUGUGACUUUUUCAUCAGUGACCUUCUUUGAUCUGGUUAUCCUUACGUGUUUUGAUUUCUCUUGUUCUGUUGUGGAAUUGCCCUUAGAUUGCCAAUCUUUCUUGCCCGGCUGGAUAAUCUGCCGUCUAUUUUGUAACAGCUAUAAAUGGAGUCAUCUUUUUUUGCCGCACAUGUAUACUGGAUACUCAGUUUUGCUUUGAAACGUAAAGAUGGCAUUUUAUCAAAAAAAAAAUGUAAAGAGGGGUAGUCCAUUGGUUUUUGCUGUAUGUCAGUAUCCCUUUGAACUCAUUUGUCAUCUUAGCAAACAUGGUAAGUAAUCUGUAUUUUCUUACAUGUGUUCCAUACACAAAUAUUCAAAUACAGUGUUUUUGUUAAUUUCAUUUCAGGUACUUUUCAGAUUUCGAAUCAUAAAACAUGUGAACGGUAACACGCGGCUUUAAAAGUAUUUUGACUCUUCCUGAGAAUUGCCUUUUAAGUGUCUCUUUUAUAAAAAAAGAUCCAGGUCUGAGUUGUCUCUCUGGCGGAAAAAAUAAGGGCGAUUCUUUUAAGCACUCUUGAGAGAUCAUCAUUUUUCCUAUGGUAGACAAGGAUUCAUCAGGGCCAAUUCCUGAUCGCUGGAAGUUGGUUGUCAAAAAGCAGAAGGAUGGGUCUAGUCUUUAGGUAAUUGAUCAUUUAAUUAUCCUUUGUUUAUCUCUUUAUGAUCUAUGUGAUUCAGACACUAGAAAGCUCUGAUACAUAUCAGUCCCUUUAAUCAAGUUUUCUACAUGCACUAAUUUGUUGAAUGCUUUGUAAUAUUUCUUUGUUUAUUGAUGAUUAAUUAAGUCGAUCUGAUUUUGUCUUUCUAGAUUUUAUUAUCAAAUCUAUGCAUUGUGCUUUUAUGUGAGGUAUGAAUGUCGCAUCUUCAUAUAAAUAUUAAGAGUAUUUUUUAUGCAUUUACUAGAUAUGAACCUUAGUUUUCUGUUUCGAGAAAGUGACAGAACUGUGAUUUGGUGAUUUAAAAAGUUUUGAUUCCCUUUUCAUUGCAUGCACUUGAUGAAACUAAAAUCGAAGCCCCUUUCUGAAUGUAAAUCAGAUGCUAGAAACUGAUAUUAACAAUCUAUCUGGUGGGAAGUAUUCUUUUGAAAUUGACAAUCAAUCAUUUCUAGGUAAAAGAUCUUUAUAUUUAGUUGUGGUCUUAACUAAAUUUCUAAAUCUCGAAGGUGUGUAAUUUGUGACUGUAGAGAAAGUCUAGGAUAUUUGCUAGUUCCUACCAUCAUGACAUGAUUGGUUAUCCAUCAAAUGGACCGGUCUGAACAGCCAAGAGUGUACCUUUACUAAUGAAGACUGUGAAUGCCUCUUUUGCAUCUAUUACUAGACCUCUAUAAUAUAUCUUUAGAGCUUCCGGACAGUAAUGCAGGAUUGCUAUCUGCAGAAUACUACUGCAUGAAUCCGUAAGCCUCCUUGCUGAAGUCUUACUUUCUUGUUCUUCAUGAUUAUUGGACUUGCUUCAAUAAAACGUCUUCCUCUUUCACCAUUUAAAGGCACAUGGUUCGAAGAAAAGCCUGAUUGUGAUACAAUGGAACCUAUAUGAAAAUUAAAUGGUAUAAAGAUGAAUUUUGUUGACUGUUGAUUUUAAAUAGUUGGCUGUUGCAGUGCUACACAUGUCCAGAGUGUGAGCAAAAGUUCUACUCCUAUGAAGAUCUCUUGUGAUAUGUGAACUACGCAAAAGCUGCUAAGCUUUCAAUCUACGCUGAUGAUUUCUGUGCCGUAAAACCUUCCUGUAGGUCAAAGAAAAGAGCUAGCACGCCUGAACUGAAUGCAGACUCGGAUCCGGAUGACGUGACAUACAAAUUCCCUCCCAUUGAUCAGUUUGACUGGUUUGAGGAUGAGCUGGGUCUGGGAGAGUCUGAGAAGCAAUUUGUAUAUGGUUUAACGGGGUUCGAGAAGAACCCGGGUUCGAAUGAAGGUUGCAGCUCUAGCAUGGGAAAUGCCAAGAAGCAGAAGAAAUCAGUGGAAGAUGGUGAAGGUGAAGAUUGAUCAGCAAGUUCGUGUUCUGUUUUUACAAGUGUUUUAGCAUAUGAAUAAAUGAAAGGAAACAAAACUUAGAAAACUGAGUGUUGUGUGUACCUUUUAUGUUUACCUUUU